RNAcentral lists this long non-coding RNA (5318 nucleotides) under Manihot esculenta (cassava). RNAcentral's name for it is "long non-coding RNA (MESC_LNC012898)". Lineage: Eukaryota; Viridiplantae; Streptophyta; Magnoliopsida; Malpighiales; Euphorbiaceae. The record is from RNAcentral.
CCAGUAGUCCGUGAGGAUAUAGAAUCAUCGCAGGGUCCAAUCGGUAAACCUUCCCUCGAGUACGAUUUUUUUGAGAUUAGGAAUUAUACGAGCAGCAUUCGACGUUACGAACACAAUUACAGGUAUUGACAGCUGAAUUUGGUGGAGAAUCUCAUGUUUAAAGAUAAUUGAUUCUUAAGGAGACCUAACGACACCGAGAGAGAAGAUACAGAAAUAAAGAAUCGAAAGGUGAAUAGAGUUAGGAGAAAGAACAAAGGCAAUAUCUACUUUUCUGAAGCCAAAAUGGUGGUGAAGCGAGAAGUCUAUUUUUUUGUGCGAAGGAUGAAGUCGGGAAAAUAAAUUCGACAGGGAGUGACGGCAUCGAAGAGAGCGUUUUAUGUUUUUCUACACCAAUUAAGAAUUUUAACUUAACUAACCAAGGAUUAAUAUCUCACCUUGGUUAUCCAAGGUGUAGCGUAGUGUCCACCGUCAAGUAAUAAAAAAAUACAAUAUGGCCUGCUACCGAUAGAUGCUCCCCCACUUUCAAUUCAAAUUUGGAAAGAAUCGCCAAAUAUUUUUAAAUCUUAAUUCAUUGUGCCAAGAAAUAAAAUUUUGGAUUUUUUAUGCCAUUAUCCUUUUUUCUUCAAGCAACAAUUUAAUUUAGUCUGCUAGUGAAUGAGGAUUUGGGGUAGCUGCGACACUUCGUCUAUGCCUUAUAACUUCUAAUGCCAACUUACGUUUUAUAUCUAGACUGUGACACUGCCUUUCAAGUGUUGUUUUAUAUCAUAAAUUACACCUAUUGGCAUGCCAAUUGCCGUUUUUUUUUGCAAGCUUUCCAAGUUAUUCAUUUUAGGUACUUCAGUAUGCUCCUACUCUAAGUUAUAGUCAAGUUUUGGCAAUAUUAAGGGUCUAAUUCACUCAUGGUCUCUUUAUGAAAAUUGCUCUCCUAUAUCUUAGCUAAUUCAGUGAUUUCUUUUGUGGCUUUACUUUUAUCUAUAAUCUUACAAAUAUUAUUAUUUGCAUGCUAAUUAUUUUAGUCAUACUAAACUUAUUAAAUUUUCAUUAAGUAAUUUAUUCGACGUGAAAAUCUACUAAUAUGGCUUGAAUUUACACCGCUGCUAUUUGCUAAUUAAAGCCUUAACAUUUAUUAUCCUUGGACCGCACCCGAAGGCUGCCUACGUACCUCCAAUAGAGGAUCAGGCCUACGUAGCUCUUAACAAUAGAUAAUAACAUAAAGUUUAUACUAACAUAAUUUAUUCUAGCUAAUAAUCAACUACAUUAUCACAUUAUAUUUAGAAUCCAGUAAAUAACUAAGGAAACAUAAAUAAUUAUAUUUUCAUAGCUAUAUUUUGCACAAUAUUAUUAAGAAACUAGAUAUCAAUAUUCAAAAUAUGUAUAUAUAUAUAUAUACACACACACAAAUUUAUAUAUAAACAAAAAUCAAUAUAACUCAUCAAUAAUAAUUACUUGUACCGAUUAAAGCGUUUAAAAUCUAACUAUAUCACCAAUAUAAAUAACAACUAAACUUUUAAUAAACAAUAACUAUCUAAACUAACCCCUAAAUCAUACCUACCAUCUUAUAACUAUCACUUAUUUUAUGUGUGUACUCUUCUUGUAUCUUCAAUCUACAUUUACAUAAUGUUUAGCUAAUUAAUCUUUCUUUAAAACCCUUCGAUUUUGUAUUAUGAUAAUUCAAAUUUAUUUCCCUAAAAGGUUAUGACUAUGUUUCGAUAUCAAACAAUCGUUACGCUAAAAAGUGAACAAGAAGAUUGGUCACUGACAUGUUCUAGCCUAUUUCACCUACUCAUGGCUCUCCCUUUUUUCAUUUCUCUUGUAUUAUAAUAUACAUAAAAUGCCUCCUUUUAAUUACAAACAACACAAAAAACAAAUAUGUUUUUCGAGUACAUUGUCGCUAUCAUAGAAUUUUUCUAUACCUUAUUGCUGAUGUCUCUAGUAUUUUAUUUUAAAAGGAUAUAAACUUUUAUUAGAAGUCACUUCAUAGUAAUUAGAAACUUGUCAUGAAACAACUUCAGAUAUAAGGCAUCUACCAUAUCCUAGCAGAUUCUUAAAAGUGAUGCACAAACUUUCCAAUCAAUGCUGCAAUGUACAUAAUGUAAUCUGCAGCUUACAAUACACACAUUUGCAGCAUUGAAUAGGUUAUUGGGAUCACGACUUUAGACUAUCACCCCAAUCUUCUAAUACAUGUUGAAUGUCAAAUAACAUUCUUAGCCAACUUACAAAAACCUAUAGUAGAGUUAUAUCCUGACCUUAACUUGUAACGUAAAAACAUUUGCUUAUACUUGUUCCUUCUCCUUAAUACCUAGAACGGCCUAAACGUUAGUUCUAAUGUAUCUUCAAUCCCCCUUUACAAAAUGUUUAGUUAAUUAAACUUUCUUUAAAACUCUUGAAUCUGUUAUUAUAAUAAUUCAAAUUUAUUUCUCUCGAAGGUUAAGACUAUGUUUCGAUAUCAAACAAUCAUCACAGUAAAAAGUGAACAAGAAGAUUGGUCACUAACAUGUUCUAGCCUAUUUCACCUACUCAUACAUCUCCUUUUUUUCAUUUCUCUUAUAUCAUAAUAUUUAUAAAAUUCCUCUUUUUAAUGAUAAACAAAACAAAAACAAUUAUGAUUUUUGAGUACAUUGUCGCUCUCAUAGAAUUUUUCUAUACCUUAUUGCUAAUAUCUCUAGUAUUUUAUUCUAAAAGGAUAUAAACUUUUAUUUGAAGUCUAUUCAUAGCAGUUAGAAACUUGUCAUGGUACAACUGCAUCACAUAUAAGGCAUCUACUAUAUCCUAGCAGAUUCUUAAAAGUGAUGCACACAAUUUCCACUCAAUGCUACAAUGUCCAUAAUGCAAUCUGCAGCUUACAAUACAAACGUUUGUAGCAACGAAUAGAUUAUCGCGAUCACGACUUUAGACUAUCACCUCUAUCUUCUAACACAUGUUGAAUGUCAAAUAACAUUCUUAGCCAACUUACAAAAGCCUAUAGUAGAGUUAUAUCCAGACCUGAACCUAUAAGGUAUACACAUUUGCUUAUACUUGUUCCUUCUCCUUAACACCUAGAAACGCCUAAACGUUAGCUCUAAUACCACUAACUCCAACAUCCCUAUAAGGUUAUUUAACUAACCGAAAUGGAGAAGCACCGUGGUGCUUCUCUCAUUUUGUCAAUUAACUAUUAUCAUGUAUUUCAUGACAUUUAAUAUAUUUUUGGAUAAUGGCAUAUAAAAUUUAAACCUUUAUGAAUUUUUGCAUUUUAAUUAAAAUGAUUUUACUUGGUACAAUAAGUUAGGAUUUAAAAACAUUUAGCGAUUCAAUUCAAAUUUGAAAUGAAAGUGGGGGAGCAUUUGCCGGUAGCUAACGUGACGUUCCAUCUGCAUUUUUUUAUUACUUAAUGGUGGAUCAUACGCUACACACUGAAUAACCAAUAUGAGAAAUUAACCAUCGGUUAAUGGUAAAAAUCCAAGUUUGGUGUUUAUCUAACCUGACUUAAAGUCGAAUUUCGAAAUUGCUCACGGAAUAGUUCAGCUACGCUUUUUCUAAGCGAAGCAACGCUGCAACCUGCAACAUCUAGAGAGCUAAAAUCUUAGCCGUCUAACAACCUAGGAUCCUUACUUAUCAGCACCACCGCCGAUGCAGUCUAUCUUACACUCCUGAAUUACUGUCAGCAUUGUCUUCAUAUCAAAUCUACCUAUGGACACCAUCGCCACUCCCAUAGUUAAAACUCUCACGAAAUUACAUAAACCAUAAACAUGAAAAUAAGGCAACGAAAAAGAAAGAAAGUUGCAGCUGCCAUCCAGCUCGUGUAAACCGCAUGACUUAGGGCCACCAUGCAUCUGAAAUUUCGAUGAGCCAAAACCACUCCAUUAACUCGACCAGUAGUCCUUGAGGGUAGAGAAUUGUCCCAGGGUCCAAUUGGUAAACCUUCCCUCCUUCCAUUUCUCCACAGUGAGCUAGACUCAUCAUCAGCGAUUCAAACUCGGGAGAGUCGAGUACGAUUGUUUUCAGAUUAGGAAUUGUGUGAGCAGCAUUCGAUGUGACGAACACAAGUAUAGGUUUCGACAGCUGAAUUUGGUGGAGAAUCUCAAGUUUAAAGACACUUGAUUUUUUAGGAGAGGUAACGACACCGAGAGAGAAGAUAUAGAAAUAAAGGACCGAAAGCUGAAUAGAGUUAGGAGAAAGCACGAAGGCAAUAUCUCCUUUUCUGAGGCCAAAAUAGUGGUGAAGCGAGAAGGCCAACUUUUUGUGCGAAGGACGAAGUGGGGAAAAUAAAUUCGGCAGCGAGCGACAAUGUCGAUGAGAGCAUUUUAGGUUUUUCUACACCAUUUAAGAAUUUUACGUUAAUUAACCAACGAUUAAUACCUUGCCUUGGUUAUCCAAGGUGUAGCGUAGAGUCCAGCAUCGAGUAAUAUAAAAAUACAAUAUGGCCUGCUACCGACAAAUGCUCCCCCACUUUCAAUUAAAAUUUGCAAAAAAUUGCCAAAUAUUUUUAAAUCCUAAUUUAUUGUGCCAAAAAAUAAAAUUUUGGAUUUUUAUGCCAUUAUUCUUUAUUUUUUCAAGAAACAAUUUCAUUUAGUCUGCUAGUGAAUGAGGAUUUGGGAUAGGUGCGACACUUCGUCUAUGCCUUAUAACUGAACUACGACACUGCCUUUCAAAUGCCAACUUACGUUUUAUAUCUAGACUGUGACACUGCCUUUCAAUUGCUGUUUUAUAUCACAAAUUGCACCUAUUCGCAUGCCAAUUUUCGUUCCUUUGACAAGCUUUCUAAGUUAUUCAUUUUAGGUACUUGUGUAUGCUUCUAUCCUAAGUUAUAGUCAAGUUUUGGCAAUAUUAAGUGUCUAAUUCACUCAUGAUCUCUUUAUCAAAAUUGUUCUCCUAUAUCAUAGCUAAUUCAAUGAUUUCUUUUGUGGCUUUAUUUUUAUCUAUAAUCUUAUAAAUAUAAUUAUUUGUAUGUUAAUUAUUUUAGUCAUAUUAAACUUAUUAAAUUUCCAAUAAUUAAUUUAUUCAAAAUGAAAAUCUGUUAAUAUGGCUUGAAUUUACAUCGCUACUAUUUGCUAAUUAAAGUCUUAAAAUAUAUUAUAUUUCAACCGCGCCCGAAGGCUGCCUACGUACCUCCAAUAGAGGAUCAGGUCCACGUAGCUCUUAACAAUAGAUAAUAACAUAAAGUUUAUACUAACAUAAUUUAUUCUUGCUAAUAAUCAACCACAAUAUCACACUAUGCUAUACAAAAAUAAUCUUAUUCAUUUAUUCAACAAUCUAUUGGAGGAAUAAGGGUUAUAUCUAGAAACCAGUAAAUAACUAAGGAAACAUAAAUAAUUAUAUUUUCAUAUUUUUAUACCUAUACU